UUUACAACGAAGAGUUUGAUCCUGGCUCAGGAUGAACGCUAGCGGGAGGCUUAACACAUGCAAGUCGAGGGGCAGCAUUUCUAGCUUGCU
Molecule: ribosomal RNA, 90 nt
Filed under: Flavobacteriales bacterium
Lineage: Bacteria; Pseudomonadati; Bacteroidota; Flavobacteriia; Flavobacteriales
Description: partial 16S ribosomal RNA
Rfam family: Bacterial small subunit ribosomal RNA
Source: RNAcentral